This 301-nucleotide ribosomal RNA is filed under the name uncultured bacterium. RNAcentral describes it as "partial 16S ribosomal RNA". It matches the Rfam family "Bacterial small subunit ribosomal RNA", at positions 509 to 808 of the family's 1533-position model. The record is from RNAcentral.
CAGUAGCCGCGGGAAUACGAAGGGGGCUAGCGUUGCUCGGAAUUACUGGGCGUAAAGGGAGCGUAGGCGGAUCGUUAAGUUGGGGGUGAAAGCCCGGGGCUCAACCUCGGAACUGCCUUCAAUACUGGCGAUCUUGAGUAUGAGAGAGGUGUGUGGAACUCCGAGUGUAGAGGUGAAAUUCGUAGAUAUUCGGAAGAACACCAGUGGCGAAGGCGACACACUGGCUCAUUACUGACGCUGAGGCUCGAAAGCGUGGGGAGCAAACAGGAUUAGAUACCCCUGUAGUCCCUGUCUCUAUACA